GCAGUCGAACGAUGAUCCCCAGCUUGCUGGGGGGAUUAGUGGCGAACGGGUGAGUAACACGUGAGUAACCUGCCCUUGACUCUGGGAUAAGCCUGGGAAACUGGGUCUAAUACUGGAUACGACCUUCCCACGCAUGUGGUGUUGGUGGAAAGCUUUUGUGGUUUUGGAUGGACUCGCGGCCUAUCAGCUUGUUGGUGGGGUAAUGGCCUACCAAGGCGACGACGGGUAGCCGGCCUGAGAGGGUGGACGGCCACACUGGGACUGAGACACGGCCCAGACUCCUACGGGAGGCAGCAGUGGGGAAUAUUGCACAAUGGGCGCAAGCCUGAUGCAGCGACGCCGCGUGAGGGAUGAAGGCCUUCGGGUUGUAAACCUCUUUCAGUAGGGAAGAAGCGAAAGUGACGGUACCUGCAGAAGAAGCGCCGGCUAACUACGUGCCAGCAGCCGCGGUAAUACGUAGGGCGCAAGCGUUAUCCGGAAUUAUUGGGCGUAAAGAGCUCGUAGGCGGUUUGUCGCGUCUGCCGUGAAAGUCCGGGGCUUAACUCCGGAUCUGCGGUGGGUACGGGCAGACUUGAGUGAUGUAGGGGAGACUGGAAUUCCUGGUGUAGCGGUGAAAUGCGCAGAUAUCAGGAGGAACACCGAUGGCGAAGGCAGGUCUCUGGGCAUUAACUGACGCUGAGGAGCGAAAGCAUGGGGAGCGAACAGGAUUAGAUACCCUGGUAGUCCAUGCCGUAAACGUUGGGCACUAGGUGUGGGGGACAUUCCACGUUUUCCGCGCCGUAGCUAACGCAUUAAGUGCCCCGCCUGGGG
Molecule: ribosomal RNA, 810 nt
Filed under: Arthrobacter sp. MCCC 1A10545
Lineage: Bacteria; Bacillati; Actinomycetota; Actinomycetes; Micrococcales; Micrococcaceae
Description: bacterial SSU rRNA
Rfam family: Bacterial small subunit ribosomal RNA
Source: RNAcentral